Long non-coding RNA from Osmerus eperlanus (European smelt), 730 nucleotides. RefSeq lists it as uncharacterized. The transcript is spliced from 3 exons. NCBI's taxonomy places the organism in Eukaryota, Metazoa, Chordata, Actinopteri, Osmeriformes, Osmeridae. The record is from RefSeq and is a predicted model, not a curated record.
UGUAAGCCUUCUGUCAAUUUCUUAAGCUAGUGAACUUGACACCAGUAGGGAAAUAUGUCACAGUUUGCAGAAUCGCUAGCUUGAUUAAUAUUUAUUGGCGCAUUCCUUAACAGAUUUGACUCUGCUGCUCUCCUGCUGACGUGGCCAAUGAUGUCCAGUCAAGAAGAACAAGUGGUCAUUCAGACCCAGAAAUUGAAGCCCAGAUGACCUUAAGGCAGCCAAUGAGAUGCCACCAGUAAGAAGGUAAAGGGAUGGGUCAAGAACCAGAUGAACUUCACCUGUGGCUAUGACAGCAGCAGGAGGAAAGAGCAGGUUCUUCCCCCUGCGCAAGUCAAGCGUCUGGUGCAUGAUACCAGGGAGAUGGCAGGUCUCCAACCCACAAUGUAAUGCACCGGGCUCGUCAACUGAUCUCCCAGUAGCCAAUGAGCUGUCAGCUGACCUUCCUGAAGCCAAUGCGCUGUGACCUGCUCCCAAAGGCAUGUUUGAAGAUGGCUGGCAUCUGGUCUGACAGUAGAGCAGCAGUCAGCGUCACGCAGUCGUCACACCAACCCCAUAGCCAGAGGGACAAGAGCUGCUACUGCAGUCUGUCUUGGUGUAUCUGUGCACACGUGCUUCCCAGGGACAUGUGCAAGUUGGAUAAGAGUGGUGGAGUUGGUGGGUGAUAUUGGAAGGUGAAAUUAUAUUGACAAGGUGAAACAAUAUGAAUAUUGCAAAAUAAAGUAAUUCUUAU